UCAGGAUGAACGCUGGCGGCGUGCUUAACACAUGCAAGUCGAACGAUGAUCCGGUGCUUGCACCGGGGAUUAGUGGCGAACGGGUGAGUAACACGUGAGUAACCUGCCCUUAACUCUGGGAUAAGCCUGGGAAACUGGGUCUAAUACCGGAUAUGACUGAUCAUCGCAUGGUGGUUGGUGGAAAGCUUUUUGUGGUUUUGGAUGGACUCGCGGCCUAUCAGCUUGUUGGUGAGGUAAUGGCUUACCAAGGCGACGACGGGUAGCCGGCCUGAGAGGGUGACCGGCCACACUGGGACUGAGACACGGCCCAGACUCCUACGGGAGGCAGCAGUGGGGAAUAUUGCACAAUGGGCGAAAGCCUGAUGCAGCGACGCCGCGUGAGGGAUGACGGCCUUCGGGUUGUAAACCUCUUUCAGUAGGGAAGAAGCGAAAGUGACGGUACCUGCAGAA
RNAcentral lists this ribosomal RNA (450 nucleotides) under soil bacterium 9V-02. Its description in RNAcentral is "bacterial SSU rRNA". It matches the Rfam family "Bacterial small subunit ribosomal RNA", at positions 24 to 486 of the family's 1533-position model. The record is from RNAcentral.